GCCCCAAUAGCUCAGUGGUAGAGCAACCGCUUCGUAAGCGGUAGGCCGUUGGUUCAAAUCCGACUUGGGGCA
RNAcentral lists this transfer RNA (72 nucleotides) under Nitrospirillum amazonense. RNAcentral describes it as "tRNA-Thr". It matches the Rfam family "tRNA". Rfam says of the family: Transfer RNA (tRNA) molecules are approximately 80 nucleotides in length. Their secondary structure includes four short double-helical elements and three loops (D, anti-codon, and T loops). The record is from RNAcentral. RNAcentral also lists the same sequence under 2 other names. Lineage: Bacteria; Pseudomonadati; Pseudomonadota; Alphaproteobacteria; Rhodospirillales; Azospirillaceae.